This 2174-nucleotide long non-coding RNA is filed under the name Androctonus crassicauda. The record is from RNAcentral. Lineage: Eukaryota; Metazoa; Arthropoda; Arachnida; Scorpiones; Buthidae.
CGAUAAUCGUAAUACAUUCAAAAAGUUUUCGGUUGUGAAACUAUAUUUUGACAUUUCGAAGACUCGAGUAGUUUGUGUUACAGCAUUUCAAUUUAUUAUUAAACAAAAGGAGCUGAUAUAAGAGACACGCGUUUCAAAAGAAGCCAAUGACACGACAGUUAUAGAGAAACCAAGCCCAGAUCGUAGUGGAUGGCGGUUAAUUAACAGGAAUUCCACCACCGGAAAACAAUAGAUUCCCUACGGGAAUUAGUCAGCCACGUGCGUUCUACCGAACUUGGUUUGUAACGCGCCGGCGCAAGAUAAAACAAAGUUGUCUCUCAUUGGUUAAACUGCUGGUGACUGACUCAACGCGGACAGAGUGAUAAAUAGCGCUAAUAGUCAUCCCUCGUGGCCAGUCAUGCCAAGUGUCUAGUCGCGUUUACCUGUUGAUCCCGGCAUCUUGUAGCUAUGUGUUCCCUCUUUCUAGUCUUGGCAUGUGUUAUUUUUGCUAAGGCAACGUCCGAGAUUUCCACUCCCGUCCAGGCCAUGGUGAGUAGUCGUGUCCUUGUAAAUAUAUUAAUUUUUUUUUUUUUAACUAGCGAGUAGUUGUCCUUCGGUCACUUUUAUUUUCGCACCAGAAUCAGUCACGGAUUUGUAAUUUUUGCAUACGUAUUGAGAAAUUUUUAAACUGUCCUUUAAAUUAAUUAAAAAUAAAAUAAAAUAAACAACAAAAGCUAAAUUUAUAUUUUAAAAAUUAAUCGACCAAAACCGUUGAUUUAGAGAGAUAAAGUUUUCGGAAAGUUAUCGCCAAAACUUUUCUAUCAGCGCGUUGAUUUAUUGUUUUUUCUCACGAGAUAUUCUAAUAAUUUCGAAGCGUGAAUGCCCAUUUUAAAAAAGGUGUUUAUUUUCUAGAUUCCCUUUAUGUUUGUCAUAAAAACAUUUCGUGUUUUAUAACCACAAUUGCUCCGGUAAGCGUAGGAAGGAAACUGUGAAUCAACGUUGCGAAUGGAUUCGGCCCCCAUCUACCUGUUAGAGGUCAUCUACAAUGACGUCAGCACGUUGAUGUCCUCCGAAUGCUUUUCGUUGACAGAAAAGCCGGAUGCUUACGUAUAAAACAUUAUUUUAGUACUCACUGGAAUAAAGAACGUCCUAAAUAUUGUAUUUAUCGUUAUAAUCAGAUUCUUUUUCAAGGGCAUUUAGCAAGAAAGCGAAAGAGAAAGAGGAAACUCGUAGUGGUCCGAUUAGUUAAUUGGAAUAAGGAGCCAGGUGUGUUAGUGGGGGUGCCACCGUUAUGGCAUCCGGUCAAUGACGUCACUCACUAUGUGACUCAUUGACUUCUGGAGGACGUGCCGGGAGUACCUUGACUUCUGAUAGGUAUCGAAAUGUUUAAAUGAUGAUCCUGACAGCGUUCCAUAAAGCAUCACGAAAAUUCUCAAUGUCAAAAUGCUCACGGGAUACCGAUCCUUGAAAUUAAGCCAAGUAAUAAUUGGAACAAAAGCCACUUAUUAGUUAACCUUGAUACAUACAAUGGAGAGAGAGAGUGUGUGUACAGAGUUGCGACGAUUGCAAGUUAGUGACGGAAAAUCGAAUGCGGUUUGGUAUCGAAUUCUAAUUAUUUUCCGGGUUUUCCUUAAAAUACUAGGGAGGAGUUAUUCUUCAUAGAAUUUUUUGUUUUUAUUUAUAAGAAAAUUUACGUCAUUGGAAAGUUUCCCAUAACCGUAGAAACAAGUUUCGCGCUUUGUUAAUGUAGUCUGCUGCAUUCGAUUCACGUUAAUAAUGGAGGAAGAAAUUACGACUCAUUUAUCCAUUGAUAGAACUACUGUUCGUGAUUUUUUUGCUUUUAUAUCUUACAAAAAUGAUUUUUAAUUAUUCUAUACUAAUUUAGGAAGUUAGAGAUGGACCCUAUUAAGAGAUAACUACAUAAGAACAUUACAUAAGAAAAAAAUCAAAAGUGAAACAUGUGUAGAUGAUUUCCUCUAAACAAUUGAGAUAAGACUAUUCUUUUUAUUUUGAAGAUGUCGUGCGAGACGAGUUUUGUUUCGUUGGCCUUCAGCUGGCCUCGCAGUUUUCUAUAUCUCACAAUUGGAAAGGAAAAGUUUUCUUGAUUUACUAUUGACAUUUUCCUUUAUCAUGUAUAAUUUUUAAUCUCCGAGCCGUUUCUUGUUUUACUUACAUUACAGAUUCCUUAUCUCCUG